UGCUUUACACAUGCAAGUCGAACGGAAAGGCCCUUCGGGGUGCUCGAGUGGCGAACGGGUGAGUAACACGUGGGUGAUCUGCCCUGCACUUUGGGAUAAGCCUGGGAAACUGGGUCUAAUACCGAAUAGGAUCACUGGCUUCAUGGUCGGUGGUGGAAAGCUUUUGCGGUGUGGGAUGGGCCCGCGGCCUAUCAGCUUGUUGGUGGGGUAAUGGCCUACCAAGGCGACGACGGGUAGCCGGCCUGAGAGGGUGACCGGCCACACUGGGACUGAGAUACGGCCCAGACUCCUACGGGAGGCAGCAGUGGGGAAUAUUGCACAAUGGGCGCAAGCCUGAUGCAGCGACGCCGCGUGAGGGAUGACGGCCUUCGGGUUGUAAACCUCUUUCAGCACAGACGAAGCGCAAGUGACGGUAUGUGCAGAAGAAGGACCGGCCAACUACGUGCCAGCAGCCGCGGUAAUACGUAGGGUCCGAGCGUUGUCCGGAAUUACUGGGCGUAAAGAGCUCGUAGGUGGUUUGUCGCGUUGUUCGUGAAAACUCACAGCUUAACUGUGGGCGUGCGGGCGAU
This 569-nucleotide ribosomal RNA is filed under the name Mycolicibacterium bacteremicum. RNAcentral describes it as "bacterial SSU rRNA". It matches the Rfam family "Bacterial small subunit ribosomal RNA", at positions 45 to 631 of the family's 1533-position model. Lineage: Bacteria; Bacillati; Actinomycetota; Actinomycetes; Mycobacteriales; Mycobacteriaceae. The record is from RNAcentral.